RNAcentral lists this ribosomal RNA (444 nucleotides) under uncultured archaeon. RNAcentral describes it as "bacterial SSU rRNA". It matches the Rfam family "Archaeal small subunit ribosomal RNA", at positions 1 to 450 of the family's 1478-position model. The record is from RNAcentral.
UUCCGGUUGAUCCCGCCGGAGGCUACUGCUAUUGGAAUUCGACUAAGCCAUGCGAGUCAAGGUGUCUUCGGACGCCGGCAUACGGCUCAGUAACACGUAGGUAACCUACCCUCAGGACUGAGAUAACCCCGGGAAACUGGGGCUAAUAUUAGAUAGAUAAAAGAUACUGGAAUGUUCUUUUAUCCAAAGCUUUUGCGCCUGAGGAUGGGCCUGCGCCCGAUUAGGUUGUUGGUGGGGUAAUGGCCCACCAAGCCUACGAUCGGUACGGGCAGUGGGAGCUGAAGCCCGGAGUUGGGGACUGAGACAAGGCCCCAGGCCCUACGGGGCGCAGCAGGCGCGAAACCUCUGCAAUGCGGGAAACCGUGACAGGGGGAUUCCAAGUGCUCAUGCAUUGCAUGGGCUGUUCUUUGGUCUAAGUAACCAGAGGAGUAAGGGCCGGGCAAG